AGUGAACGCUGGCGGUAGGCCUAACACAUGCAAGUCGAACGGCAGCACAGUAAGAGCUUGCUCUUACGGGUAGCGAGUGGCGGACGGGUGAGGAAUACAUCGGAAUCUACUUUUUCGUGGGGGAUAACGUAGGGAAACUUACGCUAAUACCGCAUACGACCUACGGGUGAAAGCAGGGGAUCUUCGGACCUUGCGCGAUUGAAUGAGCCGAUGUCGGAUUAGCUAGUUGGCGGGGUAAAGGCCCACCAAGGCGACGAUCCGUAGCUGGUCUGAGAGGAUGAUCAGCCACACUGGAACUGAGACACGGUCCAGACUCCUACGGGAGGCAGCAGUGGGGAAUAUUGGACAAAGGGCGCAAGCCUGAUCCAGCCAUACCGCGUGGGUGAAGAAGGCCUUCGGGUUGUAAAGCCCUUUUGUUGGGAAAGAAAAGCAGCAGGUUAAUACCCCGCUGUUCUGACGGUACCCAAAGAAUAAGCACCGGCUAACUUCGUG
RNAcentral lists this ribosomal RNA (492 nucleotides) under uncultured bacterium. RNAcentral describes it as "partial 16S ribosomal RNA". It matches the Rfam family "Bacterial small subunit ribosomal RNA", at positions 29 to 507 of the family's 1533-position model. The record is from RNAcentral.